GAUCUGCAAGCAUUGAGCUACGCGUGCAGGAUUCGCACGUAGGCAGGGCGCGUUACGGGAGCCCAACUGAUGGGGCAUGGGCGUAGUCAGCCUGGUGCGCAUCCACGUGGGCGCACGCCGCGCAGGCAUUUUUGUGUGGGUAUGCAGGUAGACCCGCGCGGACUAGGUUUUUCUUACGGCUUUCCUCUUCAAAAUUCUUUUUCAUUUCUCUUUUUAUUUUGAAAACCUUAUAAAAUAAA
This 239-nucleotide long non-coding RNA is filed under the name Carica papaya (papaya). RNAcentral describes it as "long non-coding RNA (CPAP_LNC011918)". Lineage: Eukaryota; Viridiplantae; Streptophyta; Magnoliopsida; Brassicales; Caricaceae. The record is from RNAcentral.